GAAAAGAAACUAACAAGGAUUCCCCUAGUAACGGCGAGUGAAGCGGGACCAGCUCAAAUUUGAAAUCUCCGAUGCCUGCAUCGGCGAGUUGUAGUUGCGAGAAGCACUUUCUAGGUGGAUCGGUCGUGCCUAAGUUGCUUGGAACAGCACGUCGCAGAGGGUGACAACCCCGUCUGUGGYGCGGCCGGCCGCCGACGAUGUGCUUUCGAAGAGUCGGGUUGUUUGGGAAUGCAGCCCAAAAUUGGUGGUAAACUCCAUCUAAAGCUAAAUACUGGCGUGAGACCGAUAGCGAACAAGUACCGUGAGGGAAAGAUGAAAAGAACUUUGAAAAGAGAGUUAAAAAGUACGUGAAACCGUUAAAAGGGAAACGAAUGGACUCAGCAAUGCGCCGUUUGAGAUUCAGCCGGUGGGUGGAAUCGGCCAGGGGUUUGCGGAUCCGAACGGACCGCGGUCUCUGGCUCGUCUCUCCCCGCCGUCGCACUUCUCUUGGGCGCGCGUCAACGUCGGUUGGGACUGGGUCUGAAAGUAGCCGGGAAGGUAGGUCUGGACCUCCGGGUCCGGUCUAUUACAGCCCGGUCUCUCAUGGCUCGGGCCCGACCGAGGAGUCGCAGCGCAUGCCUCUUGUGGCUAGGGUCCCGUCCUUCCGGCCGGUUGUCGAAUGCGGUGGACUGCUUGCAGUGCUCCGCGACUGCUGCCGGUCGUUGGGGUGGUGAUCUCGUACCAUGCGCUUGGGAUGUUGGCGGUCAUAUGGGUCCAUCCGACCCGUC
RNAcentral lists this ribosomal RNA (767 nucleotides) under Coenocyathus sebroecki. RNAcentral's name for it is "Coenocyathus sp. n. KC-2020 partial large subunit ribosomal RNA". Lineage: Eukaryota; Metazoa; Cnidaria; Anthozoa; Scleractinia; Caryophylliidae. The record is from RNAcentral.